UACGGAGGAUCCAAGCGUUAUCCGGAAUCAUUGGGUUUAAAGGGUCCGUAGGCGGUUUAGUAAGUCAGUGGUGAAAGCCCAUCGCCUCAACGGUGGAACGGCCAUUGAUACUGCUAGACUUGAAUUAUUAGGAAGUAACUAGAAUAUGUAGUGUAGCGGUGAAAUGCUUAGAGAUUACAUGGAAUACCAAUUGCGAAGGCAGGUUUACUACUAAUGGAUUGACGCUGAUGGACGAAAAGCGUGGGUAGCGAACAGG
RNAcentral lists this ribosomal RNA (256 nucleotides) under uncultured bacterium. RNAcentral describes it as "partial 16S ribosomal RNA". It matches the Rfam family "Bacterial small subunit ribosomal RNA", at positions 524 to 776 of the family's 1533-position model. The record is from RNAcentral.